UGGUGUUCCACAGCCAGGGCACCCAGACUCCUCCCUGCUCUGCCCUCACCCCUGUGGUCCUCUGGGUUCUCAUCUGUGACCCCAGAGGGUCCCUUCUGAUUUGGUGAUCUGGCCGUCCUCCAUGCCCUGGGGCCAUUUGGACUCAGAUAGAUGUUUGCACUUGUCCUUCUCUGUUGUGUGACACUUGGUAAGUCGACUGGCCUGUCUUAGGCUUGGCUGUAAAGCUGGGACAGGAAUGAUGGCUCACCUACGUGGAUGCCCCCCUUUACCUCAGAGGUGAUUAUCCCCAUUUUACAGAUGUACAGGCUGAGGCUCAGAGAGGUGGAGACACGUGCCAAGGUCAGAGCUGGGGAGCAGCAGAGCUGACAUGGGAUCCCUGUGUGUCUGACCCAAAGUCUGGCUCUCAGAUACCACCCUUUGCCUCCUUUCUAGAACUUUCUUCACAGAGAUGUCAUGAGGGUGAGACAAAGCUGUUGACGUGUUCUGCACAGACCAAGCUCCCAGUAAAAACUCGGGAUGGCGAACUCACUCCCUCAGAAGCAAGGCGUCACCUGUGAUGUGUCAGGAAGGAAUGACAGGCUUCUGAGGAUCCUCUGCAGCUCUGAGAAUUCUGCCUGGGGAGUUCUGGGGAACAGGAAGAGUCUUGGGAAGGGCUUCUGGACCCCAUUUGUGACUCAGGCCUGUCUUUUUGUUGUUUCUGGUUCUGGUUUAUUACCUUGUCUCAGAACCAAUGCCUGUGGCUCCCCAGUGACUCUGCUGGUGGCAUCUUCUGAUGUCUCUACUCCCCCUUCCCCUGCAUGCCUGGCAAAUUCUUGAUCUUGUAUUCCCUAGGGGAAAAGAGGGGAAUCUGCAAAGUCAUGUUUUCCCUCAGGAUGUGGAGAGAGAAAUUUCUAACCUCAGUGAUGCCUGCUAAAUUAUACUUAAGAAGGGGGCCAGGCACUGGCAUAUUUGCUAAGCAUUCCCCAUAUGCUUCCCUCUUUCCCCCAUGAGAGCUCCUUUUCUCUAAAAUACUGCAUGGGAGGGAUUAUUAUCCCUACUUUAAUAGAGGCAAUUAAAGCUAUGCAUGUUCCUCUAAGCACUGCUUUAGCUGCACCCCACACUUUGUGAUAAGUCAUUUCUCAUUCUCAUCUCAUUUGAAAUAUUUUUCAAUUUCCCUUGUGUUUUUUUUCUUUGACCUAUGGAUUAUUUAGAAGUAUGUUGCUUAAUUUCCAAACAUUGGACUAUCUUAAUAUCUUAUGGUUAUUGAUUUCUAAUUUAAUUCUGUGAACAGAGAAGGUACUCUGUAUGGCUUUAAUCCUUUUAUAUUUAAGUGUACGCUCUUGAAGAAGGGACCACAAGCUCUUGAAGAGGAUAUGGAAACAGCAGUAUUUGGUUCUCUACAUAUUAAUUAACUUGAAGAGAUUGGUGCUUGGUAGCAGUGUUCAAAUUGUCUAGGUCAUUAACUUUUUUUGUGUGUGUCUAUCAGUUGCUAAGAAAAGAGUGCUGAUUUCUACUACAGUUUGGAUUUGUCUUUUUGUCCCUUUAGUUUUGUCCAGUCUUUCAUCGUGGAUUUGGCACAUUCGUGGUUGUUUUGUCUUUCAGAUGAAUCGGCGCUGUUUCCACUAUGAUGCAGCUCCUCCAUCUCUGGCAGCAUCUUUGUCUUGGCACCUCUUUUAUCUGAAUUAUUCACAUCUGGACACUGAGGUCUCUGAGGUUCGGAGAGGGAAAGUGACUUGCCCAAGGCCACACAGGUGUCAGCUCCAGGGGCAGAGUGCUCCCUUCUCAGCCCAGCUGCACACAGGUUUUCUCUACUCCAACAGUCGCUUUGGGGCCAUGGGUCUGAGAGAUGCUCCUUCCCAGUGACUUUCUGGUUUCAUGAUUGCCAGGUGGCCAGAGCUGUGUCCCCGCCUGCCCUUGGCAGAGGACCUCCCAGCAGCCCCAGAAGUCACCUCCAUGCAGAGCGCAGCAUCUGGCCUGCAGCCUGCAGAGAGCUGGGCUGAGCACGCUUGGAAUACCCACUGGAAACUUCUCACUAAGCUCUAGCUCUGGAGCUCCUGGCGCCAUCUCCCUGUUUGGUGAGAUGGUUCUGAGCAUAUUGGCCAGAUCUUCCCAGGACUCACAUGUCAUAAGAAUUUCUCUGGAUAGCAGGAGAAACGU
RNAcentral lists this long non-coding RNA (2136 nucleotides) under Homo sapiens (human). Its description in RNAcentral is "HSALNT0387478". The record is from RNAcentral. Lineage: Eukaryota; Metazoa; Chordata; Mammalia; Primates; Hominidae.